GGGCGUGUAGCUCAGGUGGUAGAGCACUUGACUUUUAAUCAAGUUGUCCGGGGUUCGAGCCCCCGCACGCUCA
This 73-nucleotide transfer RNA is filed under the name Enterocloster asparagiformis. Its description in RNAcentral is "[Clostridium] asparagiforme tRNA-Lys". It matches the Rfam family "tRNA". Rfam says of the family: Transfer RNA (tRNA) molecules are approximately 80 nucleotides in length. The record is from RNAcentral. Lineage: Bacteria; Bacillati; Bacillota; Clostridia; Lachnospirales; Lachnospiraceae. RNAcentral also lists the same sequence under 9 other names.